CGGACGGGUGAGUAACGCGUGAGAACCUGCCCUCAGGAGGGGGAUAACGGUUGGAAACGGCCGCUAAUACCCCAUAUGCCGAGAGGUGAAAUGAAUUUCGCCUGAGGAUGGGCCCGCGUCUGAUUAGCUAGUUGGUGGGGUAAAGGCCUACCAAGGCGACGAUCAGUAGCUGGUCUGAGAGGAUGAUCAGCCACACUGGGACUGAGACACGGCCCAGACUCCUACGGGAGGCAGCAGUGGGGAAUUUUCCGCAAUGGGCGAAAGCCUGACGGAGCAACGCCGCGUGAGGGAUGAAGGCCUCUGGGCUGUAAACCUCUUUUCUCAAGGAAGAAGAACUGACGGUACUUGAGGAAUAAGCAUCGGCUAACUCCGUGCCAGCAGCCGCGGUAAUACGGAGGAUGCAAGCGUUAUCCGGAAUGAUUGGGCGUAAAGGGUCCGCAGGUGGCAUUGUAAGUCUGCUGUUAAAGAGUCACGCUCAACGUGAUAAAAGCAGUGGAAACUACAAAGCUAGAGUAUGGUCGGGGCAGAGGGAAUUCCUGGUGUAGCGGUGAAAUGCGUAGAUAUCAGGAAGAACAUCGGUGGCGAAGGCGCUCUGCUAGGCCAAAACUGACACUGAGGGACGAAAGCUAGGGGAGCGAAUGGGAUUAGAUACCCCAGUAGUC
Molecule: ribosomal RNA, 662 nt
Filed under: uncultured cyanobacterium
Lineage: Bacteria; Bacillati; Cyanobacteriota
Description: bacterial SSU rRNA
Rfam family: Bacterial small subunit ribosomal RNA
Source: RNAcentral